RNAcentral lists this transfer RNA (84 nucleotides) under Lactobacillus delbrueckii. RNAcentral's name for it is "tRNA-Tyr". It matches the Rfam family "tRNA". From Rfam's summary of the family: Transfer RNA (tRNA) molecules are approximately 80 nucleotides in length. Their secondary structure includes four short double-helical elements and three loops (D, anti-codon, and T loops). RNAcentral also lists the same sequence under 4 other names. The record is from RNAcentral. Lineage: Bacteria; Bacillati; Bacillota; Bacilli; Lactobacillales; Lactobacillaceae.
UGGAGGAAUAGCGAAGUGGCUAAACGCGGCGGUCUGUAAAACCGCUCUCUCUGAGUUCAGUGGUUCGAAUCCACUUUCCUCCAU